CAAGUACUCCCUCCGUCCAGAAUUACUUGUCAUCAAAAUGGAUGUGUCUAGAACUAAAAUACAUCUAGAUACAUCCAUUUCAAUGACAAGUAUUUUUGGACGGAGGGAGUACAAG
Non-coding RNA from Triticum aestivum (bread wheat), 115 nucleotides. Lineage: Eukaryota; Viridiplantae; Streptophyta; Magnoliopsida; Poales; Poaceae. The record is from Rfam.